AGGUAAGCUACUAAGAGCGAAUGGUGGAUGCCUUGACUGGUAAAGGCGAUGAAGGACGUACUAGACUGCGAUAAGCUACGGGGAGCUGUCAAGAAGCUUUGAUCCGUAGAUUUCCGAAUGGGGCAACCCAAUGUAUAGAGAUAUACAUUACCUAUAUAGGAGCGAACGAGGGGAAUUGAAACAUCUUAGUACCCUCAGGAAAAGAAAUCAAUAGAGAUUGCGUCAGUAGCGGCGAGCGAAAGCGCAAGAGGGCAAACCCAGUGCUUGCACUGGGGGUUGUAGGACUGCAAUGUGCAAGAGCUGAGUUUAGCAGAACAUUCUGGAAAGUAUAGCCAUAGAGGGUGAUAGUCCCGUAUGCGAAAAACAAACCUUAGCUAGCAGUAUCCUGAGUAGGGCGGGACACGAGGAAUCCUGUCUGAAUCCGGGUCGACCACGAUCCAACCCUAAAUACUAAUACCAGAUCGAUAGUGCACAAGUACCGUGAGGGAAAGGUGAAAAGAACUGAGGUGAUCAGAGUGAAAUAGAACCUGAAACCAUUUGCUUACAAUCAUUCAGAGCCCUAUGUAGCAAUACAGGGUGAUGGACUGCCUUUUGCAUAAUGAGCCUGCGAGUUGUGGUGUCUGGCAAGGUUAAGCAAACGCGAAGCCGUAGCGAAAGCGAGUCUGAAUAGGGCGCUUAGUCAGAUGCUGCAGACCCGAAACGAAGUGAUCUAUCCAUGAGCAAGUUGAAGCUAGUGUAAGAACUAGUGGAGGACUGAACCCAUAGGCGUUGAAAAGCCCCGGGAUGACUUGUGGAUAGGGGUGAAAGGCCAAUCAAACUUCGUGAUAGCUGGUUCUCUCCGAAAUAUAUUUAGGUAUAGCGUUGUGUCGUAAUAUAAGGGGGUAGAGCACUGAAUGGGCUAGGGCAUACACCAAUGUACCAAACCCUAUCAAACUCCGAAUACCUUAUAUGUAAUCACAGCAGUCAGGCGGCGAGUGAUAAAAUCCGUCGUCAAGAGGGAAACAACCCAGACUACCAGCUAAGGUCCCUAAAUCUUACUUAAGUGGAAAACGAUGUGAAGUUACUUAAACAACCAGGAGGUUGGCUUAGAAGCAGCCAUCCUUUAAAGAAAGCGUAAUAGCUCACUGGUCUAGUGAUUUUGCGCGGAAAAUAUAACGGGGCUAAAGU
RNAcentral lists this ribosomal RNA (1167 nucleotides) under Campylobacter jejuni. Its description in RNAcentral is "partial 23S ribosomal RNA". It matches the Rfam family "Bacterial large subunit ribosomal RNA", at positions 1 to 1188 of the family's 2925-position model. Lineage: Bacteria; Pseudomonadati; Campylobacterota; Epsilonproteobacteria; Campylobacterales; Campylobacteraceae. The record is from RNAcentral.